RNAcentral lists this ribosomal RNA (1337 nucleotides) under uncultured bacterium. RNAcentral's name for it is "partial 16S ribosomal RNA". It matches the Rfam family "Bacterial small subunit ribosomal RNA", at positions 28 to 1381 of the family's 1533-position model. The record is from RNAcentral.
GACGAACGCUGGCGGCGUGCUUAACACAUGCAAGUCGAACGGAAAGGCCCUGCUUGCAGGGUACUCGAGUGGCGAACGGGUGAGUAACACGUGGGUGAUCUGCCCUGCACUUCGGGAUAAGCCUGGGAAACUGGGUCUAAUACCGGAUAGGAGCCAUUUUUAGUGUGAUGGUUGGAAAGUUUUUUCGGUGUAGGAUGAGCUCGCGGCCUAUCAGCUUGUUGGUGGGGUAAUGGCCUACCAAGGCGGCGACGGGUAGCCGGCCUGAGAGGGUGGACGGCCACAUUGGGACUGAGAUACGGCCCAGACUCCUACGGGAGGCAGCAGUGGGGAAUAUUGCACAAUGGGCGCAAGCCUGAUGCAGCGACGCCGCGUGGGGGAUGACGGCCUUCGGGUUGUAAACUCCUUUCGCUAGGGACGAAGCUUUUUGUGACGGUACCUAGAUAAGAAGCACCGGCUAACUACGUGCCAGCAGCCGCGGUAAUACGUAGGGUGCGAGCGUUGUCCGGAAUUACUGGGCGUAAAGGGCUCGUAGGUGGUUUGUCGCGUCGUCUGUGAAAUUCCGGGGCUUAACUCCGGGCGUGCAGGCGAUACGGGCAUAACUUGAGUACUGUAGGGGUAACUGGAAUUCCUGGUGUAGCGGUGAAAUGCGCAGAUAUCAAGAGGAACACCGAUGGCGAAGGCAGGUUACUGGGCAGUUACUGACCCUGAGGAACGAAAGCAUGGUUAGCGAACAAGAUUAGAUACCCUGGUAGUCCAUGCCGUAAACCGUGGGCGCUAGGUGUGAAGGUCUUUUCACACUUUUCGGCCGUAACUAACCAUUAACCGCCCCUCUGGGGAAUACGCCCCAAGGUUAAAUUCAAGAAUUGACGGGGGCCCCCACAAGUGGUGGACCAUGUGGAUUACUUCCAUGCAACUGGAAGCACCUUAAAUGGGGUUAACAUACACUGGAUCGGUGUAGACAUAGUGUUUCCCUUCUGAGUGGGUGUACAGGUUGUGCAAGGUUGUCGUCAGCUCCUGUCGUAAGAUGUUGGGUAAAGUCCCGCAACCAACGCAACCUUUGUCUUAUGUUGGCCAGGCAUUUGGUUGGGGGCCCAUGAGAGACUUCCGCGCUCAACUCAGAGGAAGGUGGGGAGGAUGUCAAAUCAUCAUAAACCUUUUGUCCAGGGCCUCACAAAUGAUGCAAUGGUCGGUAAAAGGCGCAGUUUCACUGUGAGGUUGGAGAAAAUCGAUGAAAGCCGCCCUUAGUUUUGAUUGGGGUUUGCCACUUCUAUGCCACGAAGUAGGAAAGGGCCGUUAUCGCAGAUCAGCAAUGAUUAGGCGAAUACGAAACAGGGCCU